GCAAUUAUUGCAGGAGAGAAGCGCUCAAUGCGCUCGCCGAAGGAGCAAAGCCUCAGGAAACUCUCAGGCAAAAGGACUGCAAUAAUUGA
This 89-nucleotide non-coding RNA is filed under the name Acinetobacter bouvetii. Its description in RNAcentral is "Glycine sequence". It matches the Rfam family "Glycine riboswitch aptamer". Rfam says of the family: This family represents the bacterial glycine riboswitch. Glycine riboswitches usually consist of two metabolite-binding aptamers domains with similar structures in tandem. The record is from RNAcentral. Lineage: Bacteria; Pseudomonadati; Pseudomonadota; Gammaproteobacteria; Moraxellales; Moraxellaceae.